This is a long non-coding RNA of Triticum urartu, 856 nucleotides long. RefSeq lists it as uncharacterized. The record is from RefSeq and is a predicted model, not a curated record. NCBI's taxonomy places the organism in Eukaryota, Viridiplantae, Streptophyta, Magnoliopsida, Poales, Poaceae.
GCCCCCGUAUGGUAAAAAAAAAAAAAACCCACCGCGCCCCCGCAACCCCCUUCUCUCUCUUCCUCUGCCAGGGCCGGCGGCCGCACCCUCGCCGUCGCCUCCGACUCCCUGCUGCUCUCCCUCCCCCUCCUUUGUCGCAGCCUCGAUCGAUAUCGAAAAGAUCGCCCAGCACCAACGAGGAGGAAGGACAAACCGUCAGUGUCAUCUUUUGCUGCUCAUCGCCGUUCACGGAUUGGAGGUCUUAUGCUUACACAGUUACACAUUUCAAGUGAAGAGCGCUGCAUGCGUCUGCACAUUUCAAGUGGAUUGUAGAUGGACACAUCCUAUUCUACGCGAGCAGAGGAACUUCUCAGCAUACCGGCUUCUUCAGCAGCAAACAACGGGAGAAACUACGCGAGCUACCAACUAAAUACACGCCAACAUACAGCUGAAAACAAUGUCUAUUCUUCGCUAAUGCUUGCCUGGCAAUCAGGAGACGCAGACAGAUUGUGGAUCACACAUUCUUAAUCUGCAUAUGGUUCUGCUUCAAGUACAUCGUCAGCCAUUACUGUAAGAGCUACUUAGCUGGUUUGAAGCAACGGAUGCUCUACAUCACAGUACAUGAUUGGAGCAGCAUGCAUAUGCUUGGAAACAUUUCUCGUCACGUGAGGGGUGCUUUGAUAUUUCAGUUUUGCUAAGUCUCAGUCGAUUGAGACUUUGUUAUGUCUCAGUCCAUGGUAUCUUCUUUUGAUUUUGCAUGAAGAUUCGUGUAAAACAAUUUUUUUUUGUUUUUUUCUUCUUACAUACUAUAUAACUUAACUUAGACUUAGUUAAGUUUCAGUCGACUGAAAUUUAGGCACACCCUUGAUAUUUUUGU